AAAGAAGAGUUCUAUACCUUUUUACCCAGGUUCUCAAAUGUUUAACAUUUUAUCAGAUUUGUUUUCUAUAUAUACAUAUAAUUAUCAAUAUUUUUCCUUAAGCUUUGAGAAUAAGUUGCAUACAACAUGGUCCUUUACUUCUCUAAGUACUUCAGAGUAUAUUCAUUCACAAAGUAGAUACUCCAGUACGUACAGAGUUUAUCAACGUGAACAAAUUUAACAUUACUAAAGAAAUUUUAUUGAAUCUUCUUUCUGCAUGACAAUUCUGUCAAUUUACCCAGUAAUGUCCUUUAUAGCACUGUCUUCCCUGGAGUACUGGUCUACCAUAAGACCGCAUCUCAUACAGUAUGUUUCUGUAGUCUCCUUUAACAUUUGAAAUUUUCCAGCAAAUUUUUGCCUUUUAGAAUACUGAUCUGUUUUUUAGAAAUAUACUUCAGGCCAUUUGUAAACCCUAUUUUCUCACCUGAAACUUCUCUCUCUAGAUCUUACCUAUGUUCAAACUUUGAAGGGUAUUUUUAGAUCUAAGAGAUCUGGGUCUUUAAAGUCAGUCUUGGCCAGAAUCAGGCUGCAAAUGCCAAAGCAAGAGAUGUCAGCAAUGAGUUGCAGGUCUUUGCCAAACAGAGCAUCAUCUGGCAGUGAAAGGAGAGCAGAAGAGGGGAUUUUGAAGUCUUCCUGCACACUUCCGACAACUUGAUUGAACUGGACGCCCUUGGAAGUUCAUGGCAUCGCCUAUAACAGAGUCUGUGUAGGCAAAACCCCAGCCUAUGCUGGAAUUUAACUCUUAAAAAGCAACCUAAGUAGAACACAAGAUUGUAAACUCUAAGGAGAUUCUAACACCAAAAGAAAGUAUGACUUGAGCCAAUGAAAUGCCAAAAUCCAGUUCUAGCUGACAACGUCAGUAGUGGAGGACAGACUUCCACUUGCCAUUUGAGGAAAAAGCAUGUGGAUUCAUGAGCAUAACAGCAGAUACCCCACUACCAAUUACCAAAUCCUGUGCACAUUCCUGUUCUCCAGUCACCUUUUCUCCAUAAAUGUUUGUGGUAUAAAAUGAAAACCUUCCCAAAUAUUAACCAGUCAACCUUUAUUCUCUGAUUUCUUUCUCUAAACUAGUGAUGCCUUCAUUUUCAGUGUCACUGACUUGCACCUAACAGUUCCCAGCUUAUGUUGUAGGUGCUAUCUCAUCUUAAACUGAUCCUGUUCUCGAGUUUCCAGAGCGAGUACAGCCCUGCCACCUCUGGAGUUCAGCCCAGUGAAAGUGCUUUCAGACUUCUGACCUCCAGAACUGUAAGAGUAUACAUGUAUUUUGUUUCACGCCACCAAGUUUGUGCUAAUUUGUUAUAGCGGCCAUAGGAGACUAAUGCAUACUUAACAGGAACUGUUACUCCAGGGAAAACAUGUGACUGCAGACACAGUGGAGAGCCUAACACACAACUGUUAACCCUGUUCUGGGGAGCUGAAGCUUUGGUUUUAAGGGAUUUCUGAAACCAGUACAAUGACUGUCACUUUUCCCAAUGUUCAUCCGGGGAAUAAAUGCCUAGACACCUGGCAGCAAGAGGUCUUUCCUUCCCCAGAGACCCUCUCUUCUCCUAUUACUUAAAGGGAAAAUGUUACUGCUCAUCACUGAAGUCACAUUAUUCUUUUCCUUUCUACCCUGUUUCCAAUACAUUUCAUCCAACCUGCCUUUCUGAACUUUAAGGAGAAUAGAGUCUUGUCUCAGAGGACUUAGGUGCCACCGCAAGUUAAUAUUCAAGCCAUAUCUCAGGCCCUCUCCCAGGACUCAUCCCUGAGAACUUCUGAACUUAAAUUCUCCCCAGGUUCCAACAUCACUCACUUUCUCAUUUCCCUCUUCUGUCUUUAGUUCAGAUUCUUGUCAAUUUAGUCCUUUCCUUACACAUGGUUUAUAAUGAGGUGGUACAGCCAAGUGACAAAAGUUCAGAUGGUCUGGUUAUAAAUCUGGGUUUUUG
Molecule: long non-coding RNA, 1964 nt
Filed under: Homo sapiens (human)
Lineage: Eukaryota; Metazoa; Chordata; Mammalia; Primates; Hominidae
Description: HSALNT0150758
Source: RNAcentral